CAUGUAGGCCGCUUUAUAAGUCAGAGGUGAAAUCCCACGGCUUACCCGUGGAAUUGCCUUUGAUACUGUAGAGCUUGAGUCUGUGAGAGGAUAGCAGAAUUCCAGGUGUAGGGGUGAAAUCCGUAGAGAUCUGGAGGAAUAUCAGUGGCGAAGGCGGCUAUCUGGUGCAGUACUGACGCUGAGAUGCAAAGCGUGGGGAUCAAACG
Molecule: ribosomal RNA, 206 nt
Filed under: uncultured bacterium
Lineage: Bacteria
Description: partial 16S ribosomal RNA
Rfam family: Bacterial small subunit ribosomal RNA
Source: RNAcentral